GUCACUGGCUGGGGGCCUCCAGGGAGAGGGAUGGUCAGCUUUAGGGGCUGGGGGCUGAUGUGAGGACCGGGUGCUCUUGGUGGCUGCAAAUGUCCCUGGUCAUGUGGCCUUGCAGGCCAGCAAGUGGCUAUCCAUGGCCCUACCAGGAGGCUGUGUAACUUCGUUCAUUCAUUCAUUCAUUCAUUGAACAGCUGUAUCCCGGGAUCUCUGAUGUGCCAGGCACCAUCCACUGUCCCAGGCGCUCCAUUCUAUCUCCGUAUCCCUGGAACACAGCCCAGUCAUCCCUGCUCACUUGCAGUCCCUGAUGUCAGCAUGCUGAUGGAGGGGAAAGCUGUGAUUUGGCAUUAUUCAACCUCGUCAUCACCUAGAAUCUUCCGUCAAUUGCUGUGCCAAGGUCAGGUGGGAAGCCACGCUGACGCUGGGAGAUCUGGCUUUUCCAGCUACUGUGAUCACCUUGCAAGAACUGAAUCGAAC
RNAcentral lists this long non-coding RNA (474 nucleotides) under Ursus maritimus (polar bear). RNAcentral describes it as "lncRNA (ENSUMAG00000024187.1)". The record is from RNAcentral. Lineage: Eukaryota; Metazoa; Chordata; Mammalia; Carnivora; Ursidae.